RNAcentral lists this transfer RNA (71 nucleotides) under Loxodonta africana (African savanna elephant). It matches the Rfam family "tRNA". Rfam says of the family: Transfer RNA (tRNA) molecules are approximately 80 nucleotides in length. Their secondary structure includes four short double-helical elements and three loops (D, anti-codon, and T loops). Further hydrogen bonds mediate the characteristic L-shaped molecular structure. tRNAs have two regions of fundamental functional importance: the anti-codon, which is responsible for specific mRNA codon recognition, and the 3' end, to which the tRNAs corresponding amino acid is attached (by aminoacyl-tRNA synthetases). tRNAs cope with the degeneracy of the genetic code in two manners: having more than one tRNA (with a specific anti-codon) for a particular amino acid; and 'wobble' base-pairing, i.e. permitting non-standard base-pairing at the 3rd anti-codon position. Lineage: Eukaryota; Metazoa; Chordata; Mammalia; Proboscidea; Elephantidae. The record is from Rfam by way of RNAcentral.
AUAUUGAUGGUUCAGUGGUAGAAUUCUUGCCUUCUAUGCGGGAGACCCAUGUUCAAUUCCUGGCAGAUGUA